Molecule: small nucleolar RNA, 131 nt
Organism: Dipodomys ordii (Ord's kangaroo rat)
Lineage: Eukaryota; Metazoa; Chordata; Mammalia; Rodentia; Heteromyidae
Source: Ensembl
GCAUGGCAGAAUACUGUGUUCUUUCGUCAAUAAUUUACACAGCCAGACACCAUGCAAAAGUAAAUGUUCAUUUUAAAAUAACUGAUGGUAUGCUAUUUUUACAUAGUGUAUCAUUAAAAGUGAAUACAGAU